AAGGACUUAGAAAAGGCCAAGACAACGGUGGUUUCCUACUAACAGAGAGUGUGCUUGCAGUUCUUGCUGGUCUGUCUUCAUCAACGCCUGAAUCCAGGAACACAGCCAUGGACAUGUGGGCACAACUGCCACUGAGUACCAUGCAGCCAUCCUGGAGUACACACCACAAAGGUACUAGAACUGGUAGGAAGGGCAUCCAAAGGCUUAAAGGUAAAGCAUAUUACUCUUUGUCACUUGCAACUUGCUGUUCAUGGUGAUGAAGAAUUGGACUAUCUUAUCAAGAUUACAAUUACUAAUGGUAGUGUCAUUGCAUACAUCCAUAAAUCUCUGAUUAGAAAGA
RNAcentral lists this long non-coding RNA (340 nucleotides) under Homo sapiens (human). RNAcentral describes it as "non-protein coding lnc-CSMD3-4:1". The record is from RNAcentral. Lineage: Eukaryota; Metazoa; Chordata; Mammalia; Primates; Hominidae.